GUGAGGAAGUUGCCAAGGAAUAUUUGAGGAAGAGCUUUCCAGGCAGAGAGAAGAGCUUCAGACACAGGCCCUAGGCAAAUGAGGGUUCCUGGUGUGUUCCCGCAGCAAGGAGGCCUGCAUGGCUGGGUAGAGCUGGGGAGGGGGAAGAGAGAGAGCUUGGUGGCUUAUGUGGCAGUGAAAGGAGAGAUAUCUCCCCUUUUGCAUCAUUUUCCUUCCUGGAUUACUUCUUUCUUCAAGAACUGCAUGCAACUGAUAUGUAGAAUGUUCGAUCCUCACAAGAACUUGGCCUAUGCUCCUUAUAUGCUCAUAAGGGAAAAAGUACUUCUUGACCUGUCUGGACCAGCCCUCUCUCAAUGGCUCUUACCUGGACUUCAGUGAACAAACUUGACAUGGAGAGUUUCAAAUGAUAUUCACUGACAAAUUUGGGUCUCAGACAAAUUUGGGACUCAGAAGGAUAUUUUCCUUUGCCAUUGGACUAACUGAAUAUGGAGUAAUCUACAAGAUUCUGCUUCAGAUAUGAGGAUUUGAAGAAAUGCACACAAACAUACACAUAAAACUUGUGAACUAUGGUUCUUAGUGCCUGGAAUGGCAUGAAAAGCCUCCCUUUCCUCUUGAAAAUGGUCUUUGUAACUAGAGAAACGGGCCUGAUUGUUAGUCUAAAGAUAUUUUGUGGCAAUAGCUUGGUGAAAUGUCAAAGCACAGGAAUUUAUUUUUGUGUAGGACUCCUUUGGUUUCUUGGAUUAUACUCUUAACGUUAAAUGCUCACUUGUUACACUCAUCAAUGUCCUACUGGACUCAGCUAAUGCUAAGCUUUCCCUGCUCCUGAAGUCUAGUCUACUUCUGUUUUCAAUAUCAGCAUCCUUCCUCUUUGUUUGCCUACAUUUAGAGAAACAGUUUCAUCACUUACUGGAUAGACCAAGAAAAAUAUGUUCUUGGCCCUUUUUGAAUGGUAUUUUUGCUGAUCUGUGGACAUUUUAAAAUAAUUUAACACAAACACAUGGCUUUUCUGAAUUCAGGAAAUAUUUAGUUGGCUUCUUUCUUGGAGAUCCUAGACCUGGAAGGUACAAUAAGGUCAAGAAGAGGAUAGUGGGCAAUUAUCAGCAUCUUCAUAGCAACACUAAUCAUAACAGUCUCAAACUGGAAGCAACUCAAAGGCCCAGUAGAAUGGAUAAAUAAAUUGUUACAUAUUCAUGCAAUGCAAUACAGUUCAACAACAAUAAUAAAAAAUGCAAUAACAUGGAUAAAACAAACAAACAUAAGAUUGGAUAAAAGUACUCAUAAACUGCAGAAUAUAUAUACGGUAUGACCUCAUUUAUGCAUAGUUCAAAAAAAGCAGGCAAAACUAAUUGAUUCUGUUAGAACUUGAAAUAGUGGUUGCUUUUGGGGUCUUCUGUCUGCAAGAGGGUCCUGGGGCUUCUGGUCUUCUGGAAAUGCUCCGUUUCUAGGUGUUUAUUUCAUGGAUGGAUUGACUUUGCAAAAAUCCUUUGAGUUGAACUUUAUUAUUUAUGAAUUUUAUUUUGUUUGUUAUAUUUCCACAAACAGUUUUACCUUAAAAAAAAAAGGGUGGUAAUGAGGAGCCAAGAGCAUUGUGUCAAGCCUUAAUACCAUCUUUGUUGACAUGUGAAGUAUUCUUAUUUUAACAAAUUUCUUUUUACUUACAUGAAAUAGAUGUCUACUCCAAUAUAGGUGCCAUGUCAUUGACUUGCUUUCUGUUUUUGACAACUUUUUAAGAGAGAAGUUGAACUGGGCCUAAAUAGCAUAAAGGGGAGAAACCAGACAAAUUCUUUAUGAACUCAUCUAUAAUAGAA
This is a long non-coding RNA of Equus caballus (horse), 1808 nucleotides long. NCBI's taxonomy places the organism in Eukaryota, Metazoa, Chordata, Mammalia, Perissodactyla, Equidae. The record is from Ensembl.